This 200-nucleotide unclassified non-coding RNA is filed under the name soil metagenome. Its description in RNAcentral is "partial contains internal transcribed spacer 2 and large subunit ribosomal RNA". The record is from RNAcentral.
AUUAUCAACCCUCAAGCCCAGCUUGUUGUUGGACUCGGUGAGGUCAUCCUCACCAGCCUCAAAGAUAAUGACGGUGCCUGGAGGACCCUCGGUACAAUGAGCUUUCUAAAGCACGUAUUGAAGUGGACUUCGAGGCCCGGUCUCUUUUAACUAUUUACAAGGUUGACCUCGGAUCAGGUAGGGAUACCCGCUGAACUUAA